ACGGGUAAGUUAGUCAUUUGAGCUAUCAGGAGAUACGUGGCUUCUGUUCCUACAGCCACUGCUUAAUUGUGUAGCUCUUCCUCUUCUUUCGAUCCUUUUCCCAUGAGUUCUCUCCGGUCUUCUCAAAGGUACUUUUCCCAGUUCACUGUUAGCUAUGAUGAUUUUUGGCAUGAAGGAGAAGUGUAUAGGGCAGAAAGGAGAGACAACAUGGAGCCCUUCACCAGAAACAAAGGUAGAGCCGUCAAAAUGGGCUUGGCCCAUGAGGCCAGCCAAACCCAGCUCGCUACUUGAGUAGGGUUGGGCUAGAAUUUCUUUGAGCCCUUUUAAAAUUGAUGCUUAUAAGCCCGGCCCAAGUCAGCCCGCUAGCCCUUGAGGCUUGACCGAGGAUGAGCCUAGGCCGGCCCGUGGGCCAAAAAAUAAUUAAAUAUUUAAUAUUUAAAAAAAUAAAACUACAAAAACUAUUAACUAUAAUCCUCAUUCCCCAACCCUAGAUUGCUCAUUUACCCUUUCAUAUCAACUAAAAUUUAGAUUUUUGAUAUGCAUGUAAUAUGACAAUUAGUUUUUCUUUUUCUUAAUUUUUAACAAACUCUAAAAGUUUUAGGUGACCAAUAAUAAUCUUUUUUCAAAAGAAAAUAUUACUUUAAGUGGCCAAUGAUCAGUUUGGAUUACUUUAAUAUAUUAUUAAUAUUUAAACAGUUAUUCAAUAUAGAAAAAGAUCAAUUUUAAAUACAUAAAAAAAAUGACCACAAGCAAAUUUCAGGAAUUUUAAAAUUUUUAUGGAUUAUAAUGAUGAAAUCAGCAAAUGAUGUUAAUCCUAAAUUAAAAAAACUCAGCAUAUAAAUUUAUUGAAGCAAUCCCUGAAUCUGAGAAAAAUGAAAGAAAAGUAUAAAGAAAAUAUUCAUGUAAUUUUAAAAAAGAAGAGCUAGAGAUAUAGAGAAU
Nicotiana tabacum (common tobacco) is the source of this 939-nucleotide non-coding RNA. The record is from RefSeq and is a predicted model, not a curated record. NCBI's taxonomy places the organism in Eukaryota, Viridiplantae, Streptophyta, Magnoliopsida, Solanales, Solanaceae.